UUUGCUUCACGCGUCUGUCGCCUAUGCCGUGGUGUGUCGUGUGUGCCUUUGGGCUUUUUUUUUCCUGAGUUGGGCUUUUUUCUCAAGUUGACUUCAGAUUUUGGUACUUUGUGUGUGUCAAGAUUUCUUCCUUACUACUAGUAUUUUUUUAUGGGUGAGUUACACAUGAUCUCUCUUGAUGUGUAAUCAAUUUUUUUUAGGUGAGUUGCACAUGAUCUCUCUUGAUGUGCAAUUUAGUGCUUUUGGGAUUGAGUUGCAUAUUAAGACUAUUGAUGUGCAACCGAAUUUUUUGUGUGUGAGUUGCACAUGCUCCAGAUUGAUGUGCAAUUAAUGGAGCUUUUUUGGUUAGUGGUACAGUGGGUUUACUUUCUUUUCGAGGGUGAGUUGAACAAUAAGACUCUUGAUGUGUGCAAUUGAGAUUGUUUGGGGUUACUUGCACAUCACUUCUCUUGAUGUGUAAUUUAGUUUUUUUGGUGGGCGAGUUACAAUUUAAGAUUUUUGGCGCACAAUUGAGUUUGUUUUGUGAGUUGCACAUCAUCUCUCUUGAGUCUUCAUGUAUAAUUUAAUUUUCUUUCAAGGGUAGGUUGCAUAUUAAGACUAUUGAUGUGCAAUUGAGUUUUUUUUGGUGACUUGCACAUGACUGAUUUAUUUUCUAGAAUAAAGGUCCAUCCUCAGAUUAGAAAAUCCAUGUAGCUAUGUGAUCCUUUAGUGUGUUUUUCAUCAGAACUUUCUGUAUAAGGGAAUGGAAAAGUGAAGGAAACCAUUAUAGUGGGGUUUUGCAUUGUGUGCUGCUAAUAGAAGAGGGACAGGAAUAUACAAUAUAUAUGUGUCGUUUUCUCCUUUUACAUUACAUGUGUUGUGUCAGGAGGAGUGUCCAAGAGUAGGGGUGGAUAGACACACAGUGGGCCUCUUUCUUUCUUAGCUUGGUGUGUGAUAAUGAGAACACAAGAGGCCCACGGGAAAACCCAUGUAC
RNAcentral lists this long non-coding RNA (973 nucleotides) under Brachypodium distachyon (stiff brome). RNAcentral's name for it is "long non-coding RNA (BDIS_LNC000747)". The record is from RNAcentral. Lineage: Eukaryota; Viridiplantae; Streptophyta; Magnoliopsida; Poales; Poaceae.